UAAAAAAUUAUUAUUUUUUAAUUAAUUUUAAUUAAUUUAAAAAAAAAAAUUUAAUUUUAGUAUAAAUUAGAAAAAAUUUUUUUUAUUAUAGUUUAUAAGUAUUGUGAAAGAAAUAUUAAAUUAAUUUUUAAGAAAAUUUUUAUUUUGUACCUUGUGUAUCAGGGUUAAUUAAAUAGAAAAAAAAUUUUAUUUUCUCGAAUUUAAAAGAGCUAAGAUAAUAAAUAUUUUAUUGUAGAAUAAAUAUUUAAAAUAUUAUUUUAGUAAUGAAACGUUAUUCGUUUUUAAUAUAUCUAGUUAUUUUAGAAAAAAAUUUAAUUUUUUUGUUAAGAAUAUAAAAUUUAAUUUUUAAUUUUAUAUUAUUAAUAGUUAAUUUAUAAUGGGAUAAGCUUUUAUAAAAAUAUUUAAAAAUUAAUAAUAAAUAGAAAUAUAUAUAGGAUUAGAAGUUUUUAUUAUUAAGAUAAUGUUAUAAUUAAUUUUUUAAGAAAGAUUAUUUAUAUUAAUUUUAAAUAUUUUAUAAAAUUUUAAAUUUUAAUUAAUAAAAUUUAGUAAUAAUGAUUAAAUUAGUAGGAGAAAUUGUAUAAUAAAUAUAAUUUUAAGGUUAAAUAAAGGAAUUCGGCAAAAAAUUUUCCACCUGUUUAUUAAAAACAUGGCUUUUUGAUAAUAAUUUAAAGUCUGGCCUGCCCACUGAGUAUUUAAAGGGCCGCGGUAAUUUGACCGUGCUAAGGUAGCAUAAUCAUUAGUUUUUUAAUUGAAAGCUGGUAUGAAUGGUCGGAUGAGAAAAUAGCUGUCUCUAUUUAAUUUUUUUUGAAUUUUAUUUUUAAGUAAAAAAGCUUAAAUUAGAUUAAAAGACGAGAAGACCCUAUAGAGUUUUAUAAAAUUUUAAAUUUAAAUUUUUAGGAUUAUAACUUUGCAUUUAAAAUUUUAUUUGAUUGGGGCGAUUGAAAAAUUUAAUUAACUUUUUUUAUAUAAGAACAUUAAUUUAUGAAUUUUUGAUCCAUCAAUGUAUGAUUAUAAGAUUAAAUUACCUUAGGGAUAACAGCGUAAUUUUUUUUGAGAGUUCAAAUCGAAAAAAAAGUUUGCGACCUCGAUGUUGGAUUAAAAUUAAUUUUUGGUGUAGAGGCUAAAAAAUUAGGUCUGUUCGACCUUUAAAAUUUUACAUGAUCUGAGUUUAAACCGGUGUGAGCCAGGUUGGUUUCUAUCUUUAAUUAGUUAAUAUAUUUUAGUACGAAAGGACCAAAUAUAUAAUAGAUUAUUUAAAAUUGAAUUUUAUU
Molecule: ribosomal RNA, 1271 nt
Filed under: Monochamus sartor urussovii
Lineage: Eukaryota; Metazoa; Arthropoda; Insecta; Coleoptera; Cerambycidae
Description: 16S ribosomal RNA
Rfam family: Archaeal large subunit ribosomal RNA (bases 1032-1190)
Source: RNAcentral